This is a non-coding RNA of Faecalibaculum rodentium, 363 nucleotides long. It matches the Rfam family "transfer-messenger RNA". From Rfam's summary of the family: Bacterial tmRNA, also known as 10Sa RNA or SsrA, is named for its dual tRNA and mRNA-like properties. Its role is to liberate the mRNA from a stalled ribosome. The record is from Rfam. Lineage: Bacteria; Bacillati; Bacillota; Erysipelotrichia; Erysipelotrichales; Erysipelotrichaceae.
GGGGGUGUUCAGGCAUUCGAUGUACAGAUGUCUGGAUCCUGCUGCAGCCGGGUGGUUCCGUAAAGACCAAACCUAAAGCGAAACGCUAGAAACAACAACUACGGCCAGAUGGCCUUUGCUGCUUAAUUUAAGAGUACUUAUCUCUUGCAGCCCCUUUGACAGCCUGUCAUCAGCUGUCAUUGCGUGAGAAACCUGAAUGACUAAGUCCGCUGUCCGGCAGGCAGCGGUACCGACAAUUUCGCCAGACCUUCCUUCUGUGGUUGUCCAUGCCGUAAGAGGAAGUGUACAAAGAUGGACUAAGCUGUAGAGGCAGGAUCGUGGGACGCUGUGCAGACAGGAGUUCGAUUCUCCUCACCUCCACCA